UACGUAGGGGGCAAGCGUUGUCCGGAUUUAUUGGGCGUAAAGAGCUCGUAGGUGGUUCGGUAAGUCGGAUGUGAAAUCUCCAGGCUCAACCUGGAGGGGUCAUUCGAUACUGCCGUGACUAGAGUUCGGUAGGGGAGUGUGGAAUUCCUGGUGGAGCGGUGAAAUGCGCAGAUAUCAGGAGGAACACCGGCGGCGAAGGCGGCACUCUGGGCCGGUACUGACGCUGAGGAGCGAAAGCGUGGGUAGCAAACAGG
This 254-nucleotide ribosomal RNA is filed under the name uncultured bacterium. RNAcentral's name for it is "partial 16S ribosomal RNA". It matches the Rfam family "Bacterial small subunit ribosomal RNA", at positions 524 to 776 of the family's 1533-position model. The record is from RNAcentral.